This 666-nucleotide long non-coding RNA is filed under the name Gallus gallus (chicken). Its description in RNAcentral is "lncRNA (ENSGALG00010006620.1)". Lineage: Eukaryota; Metazoa; Chordata; Aves; Galliformes; Phasianidae. The record is from RNAcentral.
AAACAGUGGUGAGCUAGAAUGACAAGGUGUUAAUAAAUGUCUCAAAGUUUGCUCUUUAAAGGUCAGAAACUUUCUGACAUUAAAACAUUGAAGGACUGAAAAGUAGUGUAACACAUGCUAUAAAUCUUCUAGCAGAAGCCUUCAGAAAGCCAUAAAAAGAUCAGUGUUACAACAUACGUAUGAUUGAAUUUCAAUGAAUUAUAAUUUUAUAGCAGCUAUGACGUGAAAUCUCUUUCAUCUUCUGAAAGUGAAGGUUCAGAGUCAUACAGUAUGUUACAUUGUCUUGAUGUUUGUUUAGAAUUCAGAAUACAGCAAAGGAAAGCAGAAGAAAUAAAAGAGACUACUACAAGUUACGUGAGGAAAGAGAACAACCAUUGUUUGAUUAUACAUACAUACUUAAUUGGAAUGAAAAAAUCCUCAACUUGCAACAAAACUUUAAACAGAGGAAACUGUGUUCCAAAAGAAAACUCUGUAUCCUCCGAAAAAACACUUGGUGAAUACUCCUAUGUAUGUCUCUAUGGCUGUAACUUCAGUGAAACUUACAGCUGGGAACCUUUACACUCAUGGUAAAUACAUGAGCUACUGUUGCUCAAUUGCUGCACUACAGGGAAGAAGAGAGUUUCUUUACAUGAUGCUAUUCCACACAAAAUGGGCAUACCAGCUCAG